Pelobates cultripes (western spadefoot toad) is the source of this 261-nucleotide non-coding RNA. Lineage: Eukaryota; Metazoa; Chordata; Amphibia; Anura; Pelobatidae. The record is from the annotation of a GenBank genome assembly.
GUUAAUGUGUGUGUGUGUUUGUGUCUGACUGUGUGUGUUUGUGAGUGUGUGUUUGUGUCUGUGUUUGUGUCUGUGUAUGUGUCUGACUGUAUGUGUGUGUGUUUGUGUCUGUGUAUGUGUCUGACUGUGUGUGUCUGUGUAUGUGUCUGACUGUGUGUGUGUGUGUGUGUGUUUGUGUCUGACUGUGUGUGUGUAUGUGACUGUGUGUGUUUGUGUGUGUGUUUGUGUCUGACUGUGUGUGUCUGACUGUGUGUGUGUUUG